AGGUGCCUUAUCAUGUACCUGUCACAAAGCCAAAGUAGGAGCAGCUGUUCAUUCUAAGAUUCAUAAAGCAACUUUCCAAGAUGAUGCUCUGAGGAGUGUACCAAAGAGCUCUGAAGAGCUUGAAGGUGGCAAGUACAGGAGUGGCACACCUAAACUGCUCCUGGCUGCCCUGGAACAUCCCACUGAAUCUAACAUUUAUGGAAAGGCAAGGGAAAGAAUUGCUCCACCUUGCAUGUACAAAACAAGAUGCCACGUUCCUCACAGCGUCCAGAGUUGACAUGGAUGAACAGCUCUCCCAGAGGGACCUGCUUCCCUGUGGGAAGGUGCUGCCCAGGACAGUAACGUUUCUGCUACUGGAGCUGAGGGAAAAGGCCAUAUUUGGGACUUGAAGUUAGGUCAGAAUUGGAGCUGGAACUUUGAAUACAAUUUGUAUUCCCCCAAAAUGGUGCUGUACUCUACUCUCUCAGCCUUGUCCUCAGCUAACGUGUUGCAGUAUUGCUUAGGGAUGAGCUGUGCUGCUCCCACUGCUGUACUCUGGCUGGUUUGGAGUGUGGGGUCUGCCUGGCCGGGUCCAGGAGGAGCUGGGAAGAUGGACUGGCCUGCAGGACUGUUUGAAAGCUGCACAGACCUCUUUCCUAGCAGAAUGUUUAAUGGAAUCUGCUUCCUUGAAACCAAAAUGAGGCAACAGCUGAGAUUGCAGCAAGCUGCAACAUCUCAUUGCUGGAUGGAGGCACAUCCUGUUACAAGUGGUGCUGCUGCAAAACCUCAGAAAAAGAACCUACAGAGACCUGCCUGGUCUGUGAACUCCCCUGAGGUGAGCUGAAGACGUAAUUUCACUUGGUUUCUUUGAAGAAAGAGCUGUACAUACUCCAGGCAACUUCAGUGAACAGAAGCUUCAGUAAACCUAGACCUGAAUUUGAGAGAAUUUGGCUCAAUGGGCCUCAGGAAGAAGUUUUGAAUGUGGUGCCAGCCCAACAGCAGACGAUGAGAGAAACCGAGACAAGCACUUCCAAGAUAAGUAAUAAAUGAUAAUUGUUAUUUCCUGUUAUUCAUCUGAAUCUCUACUCCUGAGAAUUUGAGUUAAAUCCUAAAUUUUCCUUUUAUUUUUAAUCAGAUCAUCCAUCAAGUUAAAAAACAGCAACACAAGGAGGUCCUAAGAUAGGGUUUGCUCCAGUUUUCCUGCUGAGCAUCUGUUUAGGAAUUGCUGCUAAAAAAAGUCAGAGGGGAUGGUAGUUGCUGUGCUGUCACAUGGGCUGAUACAGCACAGAAUCUGCUUAGCAUUCUUGAAGGGAAAUUAUCCAAUGCUGUAACUCACAGUUUAUAAUUGGUUGCAUAUUAAUAUCUAAAAAAGGCAAUAAAAUCCACUGUGUGUUUAAAAAAAAUAGUAAGUAGGAGUAUUACAAGCUGAGCAGUGAAAAUCUGGAAGACUUCUUGGCUAGAGCAGGGCUGUGUGCAGUGCUGUUUCUCCCUUAAUUACAAGCAAUUUUAAAUCGUCUCCUUCCUUCAAAGAAGGAUUUUGUUCAGGGUUUGUGUUAAUUUUAAUCUUGCUAACGUGAUACUCUCUUGGAACCUCUCUCUUGUGUCAUAACAGUGAGAUGUGCUGCCUCUUUUGUCCCUGCCCUUUGGGAAAUGCAGUUACUGCUGCUCGUUGCCUCAGCCCUGCCAUUGUGACUAUCAGUGUACCUCCCUUGAAAGGAGAAGAAAACAAAACCCAACAGCAGCAUUGCUUCCCCCCCCCCCCCGCAAGAGGUUCACUUUUAUUUGUACUAGACUGUGCAAGUACUUCAUGAAAAUCAGGGAUUUAAAAUGUAUGGUGCUGUAUUAUAGUGGAAAGCUUGUUAUUCAGCACACUAAUUAUUUCUGAGUCACUGUAUUUAUGAAAUGGCGUGUAAUAACUACUUCACCGCCACGCAAAAGUAAAUAGUACAAAAGCAGGCAUUUUAUGAUUUUGACAUUUUAGUGUAUAAACAUAUUCCUGAGUCUCCUGGGGGGCUACUGGAAAUCAGAUAAUGGUUUUAUGACUUCUAAAAAAAUGAGGUUGAACUUCAUAGUCUGUAACGCUCCAUAUAUAUGGUUAAUGUUGCACAUUUUAUUACAGCCUCAGUAGCUUAUGUUACAAGUGUCAGCUGCAAAGAGAAAAUGUGCAAAGGCAGGUUUGUGGAACUUGGGGGGGAAAAACAUCACAAAACCUUGCAAUGCACACAUCAAAGCCCUUGGACAAGCUGUAAUGGCAGGUCCUGGACCAUGCUGGGACACCAGAAUUCACCCUCUGCUUUUUUUUUGUUUCAGGA
Molecule: long non-coding RNA, 2291 nt
Organism: Empidonax traillii (willow flycatcher)
Lineage: Eukaryota; Metazoa; Chordata; Aves; Passeriformes; Tyrannidae
Exons: 7
Source: RefSeq, a predicted model, not a curated record